RNAcentral lists this ribosomal RNA (161 nucleotides) under Goniurosaurus kuroiwae (Tokashiki gecko). RNAcentral describes it as "partial 12S rRNA". Lineage: Eukaryota; Metazoa; Chordata; Lepidosauria; Squamata; Eublepharidae. The record is from RNAcentral.
CACCGCGGUUAUACGAAGGGCCUAAAAUAACAAUAUUCGGCGUAAAGCGUGGCCAGAGACAUAAACCUGAGACCGGAAUAAUAGUAUAGAUGUAAAACUCACACCCUAUAAAGAAAAACGAACAGUCUCACUAUACACCUUGACCCACGAAAGCUAAGAAA